CACGUAGGCGGCCUGUUAAGUGUGGAGUGAAAUCCCACGGCUCACCCGUGGAACUGCUUCGCAUACUGGCAAGCUCGAGGACGGUAGGGGAGAGCGGAACUCUUGGUGGAGCGGUGAAAUGCGUAGAUAUCAAGAGGAACACCGAUGGCGAAGGCAGCUCUCUGGUCCGUUUCUUACGCUGAGGUGCGAAAGCUAGGGUAGCGAACG
RNAcentral lists this ribosomal RNA (207 nucleotides) under uncultured bacterium. Its description in RNAcentral is "partial 16S ribosomal RNA". It matches the Rfam family "Bacterial small subunit ribosomal RNA", at positions 568 to 774 of the family's 1533-position model. The record is from RNAcentral.